GACGAACGCUGGCGGCGUGCCUAAUACAUGCAAGUAGAACGCUGAAGCUUGGUGCUUGCACCGAGCGGAUGAGUUGCGAACGGGUGGGUAACGCGUAGGUAACCUGCCUGGUAGCGGGGGAUAACUAUUGGAAACGAUAGCUAAUACCGCAUAAGAGUAGAUGUUGCAUGACAUUUGCUUAAAAGGUGCAAUUGCAUCACUACCAGAUGGACCUGCGUUGUAUUAGCUAGUUGUUGAGGUAACGGCUCACCAAGGCAACGAUACAUAGCCGACCUGAUAGGGUGAUCGGCCACACUGGGACUGAGACACGGCCCAGACUCCUACGGGAGGCAGCAGUAGGGAAUCUUCGGCAAUGGACGGAAGUCUGACCGAGCAACGCCGCGUGAGUGAAGAAGGUUUUCGGAUCGUAAAGCUCUGUUGUAAGAGAAGAACGAGUGUGAGAGUGGAAAGUUCACACUGUGACGGUAUCUUACCAGAAAGGGACGGCUAACUACGUG
RNAcentral lists this ribosomal RNA (497 nucleotides) under uncultured bacterium. RNAcentral's name for it is "partial 16S ribosomal RNA". It matches the Rfam family "Bacterial small subunit ribosomal RNA", at positions 28 to 507 of the family's 1533-position model. The record is from RNAcentral.